CUUCAUGGUGGAUGGAACACAACGGCAAGAAAACAUGCUGGGGGAGAGCCUAUGGUGAGACAAAAAGCCAGAGACCAAGGAGGGAACAUUUCUUGCUCUCUUAUAACAGCACACUCUUGGUUCCACCACCUCCUAAUACCGCCACACUGAGAUCCAAGCUGCCAGGUCAUGGACACAUAUGGGGUCCGUAUGUGUUUGAGCCAUAGGUGGGAUCGGGAGCAGUCAAAGAUGGUAACUUGGCUUUUCUCAUUCUGGGAACAUCUGAUGGAGAAAGUCAAGGCUGCUGGGAUUUGACCGUGGCCUAAGGAUUCUGAAGAACUUCCCUGAAAGUGAAAGUUUUGAAUAAGCCAACAUGGCCGCAGACCUGACAUCCAUUCCAUGUGCGGUCUGACCUGUGGCUUCCAGACUCUUGGAUACGGACAAUCAUGAAAGCCAGAGUCCACAUGCCCUCACUCUUUGAGCUGCUGUUAAUGAAGACACCAACCCCGACGAUGGGUAGAUCCUAAGAGCACCUCCUGUAUCUUCUCCUUGCAGGAAGUGCUCGACCUUUGUCAGCAGAGUGGACCACGUGUGGGGAGAAGACAGCCGACUUGACUUCUGAGGCCACUUUAGACACACUGUGUUUCUAGCUUCUUUUCCCAUUGUUGGUGACACAUCCUGAAGGAAAGACCAAGCAGACUGCUUUUUUGGUUAGGAACAUUUCAAAGUUUAUUUUGAUUCUUCUUCUGACUUACAGAAAUUAUCCAAACAACUUUGGCUACAUCUAUUUUCAUCUGCAUAUGGUAUUUGCAACGACUCCAAAGUGGAAGACGUAUUUACACAAUGACAUUUCCCAUUGCGCGCGAUGCCCUUUGUCUAAACAUCCUGGGACGCAGUCACGUGACCUUUGACGAUCGUGUCUCCUAGGAGAAUCCUGGACAUGCC
This 924-nucleotide long non-coding RNA is filed under the name Marmota monax (woodchuck). Lineage: Eukaryota; Metazoa; Chordata; Mammalia; Rodentia; Sciuridae. The record is from RNAcentral.